Molecule: ribosomal RNA, 301 nt
Filed under: uncultured bacterium
Lineage: Bacteria
Description: partial 16S ribosomal RNA
Rfam family: Bacterial small subunit ribosomal RNA
Source: RNAcentral
CAGUAGCCGCGGGAAAACAGAGGGUGCGAGCGUUAAUCGGAUUUACUGGGCGUAAAGCGUGCGUAGGCGGCUUCUUAAGUCGGAUGUGAAAUCCCUGAGCUUAACUUAGGAAUUGCAUUCGAUACUGGGAAGCUAGAGUAUGGGAGAGGAUGGUAGAAUUCCAGGUGUAGCGGUGAAAUGCGUAGAGAUCUGGAGGAAUACCGAUGGCGAAGGCAGCCAUCUGGCCUAAUACUGACGCUGAGGUACGAAAGCAUGGGGAGCAAACAGGAUUAGAUACCCCUGUAGUCCCUGUCUCUUAUAC